GGCGAACGGGUGAGUAACACGUGAGUAACCUGCCCUUGACUUUGGGAUAACUUCAGGAAACUGGGGCUAAUACCGGAUAGGAGCUCCUGCUGCAUGGUGGGGGUUGGGAGAGUUUCGGCGGUUGGGGAUGGACUCGCGGCUUAUCAGCUUGUUGGUGGGGUAGUGGCUUACCAAGGCUUUGACGGGUAGCCGGCCUGAGAGGGUGACCGGCCACAUUGGGACUGAGAUACGGCCCAG
RNAcentral lists this ribosomal RNA (237 nucleotides) under uncultured Actinomycetales bacterium. RNAcentral describes it as "partial 16S ribosomal RNA". It matches the Rfam family "Bacterial small subunit ribosomal RNA", at positions 97 to 334 of the family's 1533-position model. The record is from RNAcentral. Lineage: Bacteria; Bacillati; Actinomycetota; Actinomycetes; Actinomycetales.